This is a long non-coding RNA of Mauremys reevesii (Reeves's turtle), 364 nucleotides long. RefSeq lists it as uncharacterized. NCBI's taxonomy places the organism in Eukaryota, Metazoa, Chordata, Testudines, Geoemydidae. The transcript has 3 exons. The record is from RefSeq and is a predicted model, not a curated record.
CAGCUAUAAUUGUGCUGAGAGUCUAACAGUCAGUUUCCAGUAAUGAAAGGAGACAAGCUCUAAAGUGGACUUGACAGAAGCCUCUAACGCUACAGGAUCUUUGUUCUGCUGAUGUCAUUUCAAGCUCUGCAGAAGAUUUCACAACAGUACCACCUUGUUCUCCUCUCAGAAUUCAAAGUUAACCGGGCCAGGCUGGAGUAGAAGUCCAGAAUAAUUUACUGAAGCCAUUGUCACCAAGAUCAACACUAGUUUGUACAGUGAAAUUCUCCACUUUAAUUGAAAAGAAAAAAUGUUGUGCUAAAAUGACUCUUAAUACCAAACAAAAAGGUUGGAUCUUUUAGUGAUAAAGAUGCUGAUAACAACU